Molecule: ribosomal RNA, 445 nt
Filed under: uncultured bacterium
Lineage: Bacteria
Description: SSU rRNA
Rfam family: Bacterial small subunit ribosomal RNA
Source: RNAcentral
AGAACGAACGCUGGCGGCAGGCUUAACACAUGCAAGUCGAGCGCCCCGCAAGGGGAGCGGCAGACGGGUGAGUAACGCGUGGGAACAUACCCUCCGGUUCGGAAUAGCUCAGGGAAACUUGGAUUAAUACCGGAUACGGCCUAGCGGCGAAAGAUUCAUCGCCGGAGGAUUGGCCCGCGUUCGAUUAGCUAGUUGGUGAGGUAACGGCUCACCAAGGCGACGAUCGAUAGGCUGGUCUGAGAGGAUGAUCAGCCACAUUGGGACUGAGACACGGCCCAAACUCCUACGGGAGGCAGCAGUGGGGAAUAUUGGACAAUGGGCGCAAGCCUGAUCCAGCCAUGCCGCGUGAGUGAUGACGGCCUUAGGGUUGUAAAGCUCUUUCGCUAGGGACGAUAAUGACGGUACCUAGACAAGAACGCCCGGCUAACUUCGUGCCAGCAGCCGC